Molecule: ribosomal RNA, 694 nt
Filed under: uncultured bacterium
Lineage: Bacteria
Description: bacterial SSU rRNA
Rfam family: Bacterial small subunit ribosomal RNA
Source: RNAcentral
GAGACUUUUUAUUUGAUGCUUGCAUCUUUUAAAAAGUUGAGUGGCGAACGGGUGAGUAACACGUGGGUAACCUGCCUUAAAGUGGGGGAUGACACUUGGAAACAGGUGCUAAUACCGCAUAACCAUCAAAACCGCCUGGUUUUGAUGUUAAAGAUGGUUCUGCUAUCGCUUUAAGAUGGACCCGCGGCGUAUUAGCUAGUUGGUGAGGUAAUGGCUUACCAAGGCAAUGAUACGUAGCCGAACUGAGAGGUUGAUCGGCCACAUUGGGACUGAGACACGGCCCAAACUCCUACGGGAGGCAGCAGUAGGGAAUCUUCCACAAUGGACGAAAGUCUGAUGGAGCAACGCCGCGUGAGUGAAGAAGGUUUUCGGAUCGUAAAACUCUGUUGUCAGAGAAGAACGUGUGUGAGAGUAACUGUUCACGCAGUGACGGUAUCUGACCAGAAAGUCACGGCUAACUACGUGCCAGCAGCCGCGGUAAUACGUAGGUGGCAAGCGUUGUCCGGAUUUAUUGGGCGUAAAGGGAACGCAGGCGGUCUUUUAAGUCUGAUGUGAAAGCCUUCGGCUUAACCGAAGUCGGGCAUUGGAAACUGGGAGACUUGAGUGCAGAAGAGGAGAGUGGAACUCCAUGUGUAGCGGUGAAAUGCGUAGAUAUAUGGAAGAACACCAGUGGCGAAAGCGGCUCUCUGGUCUG